CGUUUCUGCUGUGCCAUUAAGAGUACAAAAAACAAUAAAAAAUUAGUUCUCUUUUCAUAACUUUUGAUUCUUUCGUUCUUUACUACAUGCAGUUCACGCACUGGGUUGUCCACCAGUUCUUAUCCAGUAGAUGAGGCAGGAAAUCAAAUUUGAAUUGAAAAAUUAAAUUUCAAAAAUUGAUUUAUUUCUCUCCUCUAAUCCCUUUCUCCUUUGAUAGCCACUAAGUUCUCUACCUUUUUUUUUCUCAAUUUCUCCUCUCUUACACCAAGGUCUCCUCCCACGUUCCCAUCGAAGCAAAGAAGAAGAGAACAUGACGGUGAAGAGGAAAAGCACGAGGAAGAAGGAAAAGAGGGAGGCAACGACGGCGGUGGUGGUGAGAGGCUGCAACCUUGCCACUGAAUCAAAUGAAAGAGAGUGAAAGCAAGCAGAUCGGUGACAGAGGAAGAGAAAGCAGGUGAAGGCGGUGACAGAGGCCACCGCCGCUGCUGGAUACGCCGCCAGAGAAGAAAUUCGUUGGACUGAGGGGAGAGAAAAAAAUGGAAGAAGAAAAGUAGAGGCUCAGGUUCUUCCUCUAACUGAUGGAAACUCAGCUUACUCUGUCCAGUCAGAUGCAGUUGAAAAUGAAUCAUAUCAAAACUCCCCAAAGAACUCUAGCAGACAGAGAUCAUGCAUACACGUAUAAUAUAGCAAUGCUCAGAUUUUCCUUGGAGUGGAUAAAAGUUAUGGUUCUAUUCUAGAGUAUUCAAAAUUGAGGUUUGCUUUUAGCUUUUAAAAUAGAUUCCUUUGUUCUUUUAACAAAUAGAGAAUGAUCAGAUUUCGUGUUUUCAAAAUCAAAACAUUUUAAAGUGAGUGCAAGAGUAUUAAACCAUGCCUUAGGAGCCUGUUUAAGGCCAAAGAUAACUUUAUGCAAAACUUACAAACUAUAGUUGAAUCAGAUGAUGCAAAUUGGUCUGGCCGAUGCAUAUAAAUGUUUUCUUCAAGCAUUCCAUUAAGAAACGCAUUAUCAAAAUCAAAUUAUUGCAUCUGCCAGCCAUUAAUAAUAGCAAGGGAAAGUAUAAUUCUUACAAUUUGAGGUCCUAUAACCGGGCUAUAAACUUCCUUAAAGUAUAUACCUUCAUGUUGAUGAAAUCGUUUUGCUACUAUGUGUGUCUUAUAGCGCAAAAUAUCUCCAGCUGAGUUUUUCUUUAUUGGAAAAAUCCACUUGCAAGGAACAAGUGUUGAAUUGGGUAGAGGUUGUUGUAGAGAAUAUGUCUUGCAUCGCAUCAAAGUAUUGUAUUUGGUUUGCAUUGCUUUUUUCCAAUGAUCAAACUGCAUAGCAUACUUAGCAUUUUUUGGUAUAUAUUUCAGAAAGUUUGGAUCAUCUGUAGUUAUAGAAAGAUAGGUUUUAAGUUUAGUAAUGCCGCUUUUUGACCGUGUAUUCAUUAGAUGAGUAUUUGUGAUUUGAGAGGUAGAGAGGGUGGAUCUAUUAACGGGAGGAACUUCAAUUUCACUUAUUGGAGUUGUGUGAGAGGAUUCCUGUUCUGAAGUGUGUAGAGGUGCAGGAGUGUCAUUGGUAUUGUUAUCGAUAUGGAUGACUUGGAAAUUGGGUGAGGUGAAUAUAAAAGAAGAGGGAAAUAAAAUAAUUUGUUCUGAUGGGGAAGGAGUAUAAAUGACUUUGAAUUAAUAGAAGGGGUUGGCUUUUCUGUGUAGUGCUCAUUGUAAGGAAAUAAUUUUUCCUUAAAAAUCACAUGUUUAGCAAAAUAUAGUUUGCCAGAUCUAGUUAGACAUUUAUAUCCCUUGUGUUAACUAUCACAUAUACCCAAGGAAUAGGUCUUCCUUUUGUUGUAUGGUCUCAAAUAUGGAUAGCAGCCACACUCGAAAAUUGUUAAAGAAUUAUAAUAUGGUUUUUGAUUGAAAAUUACCUCAAAUGAUGUCUUUGAUUGUAAUACAGGAUUUAGUAGUCUAUUGAUGAGAUGUACAACAGUUGUGAAUGCAUCUUCCCAAAAUUGAAAUGGUAGACCAGCUGUUGCUAGCAUAGACAUGUCUAUCUUUGUGAUGUGUCUAUGUUUGCGUUUAACAUUACCUUGUUGCUCUUGUGUGUAUGGACACGCCAAUCUAUGAACAAUACCCUGAUUUUGAAGAAAAUAUGUAAAAGCUUGUGACAAGAAUUCCAAGCCAUGCUCAGCUUGAAGAGAUUUUAUUUUGAAACCUGUUUGUAAUUUCAUUAAGUGUUUGAAGUUUUGAAAAGCAAGUAAAGCUUGUAAUUUAUUAGUUAAAAGAAAAAUACAAGUAAACUUAGAAAAAACAUCAACAAAACACAUAUAGUAUUUGAAGCCAUUUUUAAAAGAUAUUAGUGAAGGUCCCCAGCUAUUUUUUUAUACUAGUUCUAAAGGAUGAGUGUAGGUAUGUACAGAUGAGAGAGAUGGUUGUUUGUGCAUUUUAGCAAGGGAACAAAACUCACAAAUAAUAAGAGUGUUUGGACUAUAGUCAGAUUUUAUGUCACAUUGUUUAAGAACAGCAAGAACACUUUUAAUCCCACAAUGUCCAGGUCUCUUAUGCCAUAUUUCAAAAUUAGUAGGUAAAUACAAAAUAGAAUUAAAGGCAAUAGAAGAGAAAAUAGCAGUGGAAAAAAGCAUCACUAUGAUGAGCAGUGUUAAUAUUUGUAUGUAAGAAUAGUCCAUAGUACACAUCAGAAGCAUUGUUAGAUCCAAAAUUUAAAGAACUAUAGCUUGACAUCAGAAUUGAAAUGAUUUACAGACUUGGACUCGGAUUUAUUCGUAUUUAUAGAAGACUCAUGGGUAUUUCUGGAUACAACAUCUAAAUUUGUAAGCAAACAAUGAUUAUUAUGACAAGAAUUAGACUUAAAAUUAACAGAAGAAGACAUAACAGUAGUGCCUAAAUCUCGAAGCUUGUAAAUCCCUCCCUCAGCAAUGCCGUGGAGAAGAAGCCUCUCCUGGUUACAGCACAAUAUUUAGGCUAAAACUCAAAAUAAACGUGAUUAUCCUCUGCGAAUUUUGACACACUUAAAAGAUUGUGUUAUAGUUGGUGCAUGAAGAAGAUUAGUCAAUUUAUAAUACAUAUUAUGAAGACGAUCAUAUAAUAAAGAAGAACCGAUAGUAAGGACAGGGAUGCCCUGACCAUUACUCACAAAAAGGUUUGGAGCCUGAGUAUUAUCACUAGAAUUCAGGAGAUUAGUAUGAUCAUUAGUGACAUAGUGAUUGGCACCGAAAUUGGGGUUCCAUGAUGAUCCUACCACAGAUGAUGGUGCUUUGUAAUAGGCGCGAGGUUGAUGGAA
Molecule: long non-coding RNA, 3274 nt
Organism: Arachis stenosperma
Lineage: Eukaryota; Viridiplantae; Streptophyta; Magnoliopsida; Fabales; Fabaceae
Exons: 4
Source: RefSeq, a predicted model, not a curated record